Molecule: ribosomal RNA, 1274 nt
Filed under: Ophiocordyceps sp.
Lineage: Eukaryota; Fungi; Ascomycota; Sordariomycetes; Hypocreales; Ophiocordycipitaceae
Description: partial large subunit ribosomal RNA
Rfam family: Eukaryotic large subunit ribosomal RNA
Source: RNAcentral
UUUGAAAUCUGGUCCCCUCGCGGGGCCCGAGUUGUAAUUUGCAGAGGAUGCUUUUGGCGAGGCGCCUUCCGAGUUCCCUGGAACGGGACGCCAUAGAGGGUGAGAGCCCCGUCUGGUCGGACGCCUAGCCUCUGUAAAGCUCCUUCGACGAGUCGAGUAGUUUGGGAAUGCUGCUCAAAAUGGGAGGUAUAUGUCUUCUAAAGCUAAAUACCGGCCAGAGACCGAUAGCGCACAAGUAGAGUGAUCGAAAGAUGAAAAGCACUUUGAAAAGAGGGUUAAACAGUACGUGAAAUUGUUGAAAGGGAAGCGCUUGUGACCAGACUUGAGCGCGGCGGAUCAUCCGGCGUUCUCGCCGGUGCACUCCGCCGUGCCCAGGCCAGCAUCGGUUCGCGGCGGGGGAUAAAGGCGUCGGGAACGUGGCUCCCCUCGGGGAGUGUUAUAGCCCGUCGCGCAAUGCCCCGCCUGCGGACCGAGGUACGCGCUCCGCAAGGAUGCUGGCGUAAUGGUCACCAGCGACCCGUCUUGAAACACGGACCAAGGAGUCGUCUUCGUAUGCGAGUGUUCGGGUGUCAAACCCCUACGCGUAAUGAAAGUGAACGCAGGUGAGAGCUUCGGCGCAUCAUCGACCGAUCCUGAUGUUCUCGGAUGGAUUUGAGUAAGAGCAUACGGGGCCGGACCCGAAAGAAGGUGAACUAUGCCUGUAUAGGGUGAAGCCAGAGGAAACUCUGGUGGAGGCUCGCAGCGGUUCUGACGUGCAAAUCGAUCGUCAAAUAUGGGCAUGGGGGCGAAAGACUAAUCGAACCUUCUAGUAGCUGGUUUCCGCCGAAGUUUCCCUCAGGAUAGCAGUGUUGAACUCAGUUUUAUGAGGUAAAGCGAAUGAUUAGGGACCCGGGGGCGCUCUUUAGCCUUCAUCCAUUCUCAAACUUUAAAUAUGUAAGAAGCCCUUGUUACUUAAUUGAACGUGGGCAUUCGAAUGUAUCAACACUAGUGGGCCAUUUUUGGUAAGCAGAACGGGCGAUGCGGGAUGAACCGAACGCGAGGUUAAGGUGCCGGAGUGGACGCUCAUCAGACACCACAAAAGGCGUUAGUACAUCUUGACAGCAGGACGGUGGCCAUGGAAGUCGGAAUCCGCUAAGGACUGUGUAACAACUCACCUGCCGAAUGUACUAGCCCUGAAAAUGGAUGGCGCUCAAGCGUCCCACCCAUACCUCGCCCUCGGGGUAGAAACGAAGCCCCGAGGAGUAGGCGGACGUGGAGGUCAGUGACGAAGCCUA